GAUUCAGCUCCGUUGGUAGAGUGCCUGCCUUGCAUGCACAAGGCCCUGGGUUUGAUCCCCAGCACUCA
This 68-nucleotide transfer RNA is filed under the name Marmota monax (woodchuck). Its description in RNAcentral is "tRNA.Ala". The record is from RNAcentral. Lineage: Eukaryota; Metazoa; Chordata; Mammalia; Rodentia; Sciuridae.